Molecule: unclassified non-coding RNA, 131 nt
Filed under: Haloferax larsenii
Lineage: Archaea; Methanobacteriati; Methanobacteriota; Halobacteria; Halobacteriales; Haloferacaceae
Description: HgcC family RNA
Source: RNAcentral
CAGCGUUCACGAGACUGCGUCUCGUGAGCCAACCAGAACCUCCGGUUCUGGUGACGACGACUAACUGGCAUUCCCACCGUGUGGGAAGCCCCGCCGUUCAUGGCGGGGAGGAUGUCACGUAGAGCGUGAAC